AUACGUAGGAGGCUAACGUUAUUCGGAUUUACUGGGCGUAAAGCGCGUGCAGGCGGUUCGGUAAGUUGGACGUGAAAGCUCCCGGCUCAACUGGGAGAGGUCGUUCAAUACUGCCGGGCUAGAGGAUGGUAGAGGGAGGUGGAAUUCCGGGUGUAGUGGUGAAAUGCGCAGAUAUCCGGAGGAACACCAGUGGCGAAGGCGACCUCCUGGGCCAUUCCUGACGCUCAGACGCGAAAGCUAGGGUAGCGAACGGGAUUAGAGACCCCGGUAGUCCUAGCCGUAAACGAUGUGAACUUGGCGUCGGUGGGAUUAAAUCCAUCGGUGUCGAAGCUAACGCGAUAAGUUCACCGCCUGAGGACUACGGCCGCAAGGUUAAA
This 377-nucleotide ribosomal RNA is filed under the name uncultured bacterium. RNAcentral's name for it is "bacterial SSU rRNA". It matches the Rfam family "Bacterial small subunit ribosomal RNA", at positions 523 to 898 of the family's 1533-position model. The record is from RNAcentral.